GAGGGUAUAGCUCAGUGGUAGAGUGCUUGGCUAGCAUGCACAAGGUCGUGGGUUCAAUCCCCAGUACCUCCA
This 72-nucleotide transfer RNA is filed under the name Camelus bactrianus (Bactrian camel). It matches the Rfam family "tRNA". From Rfam's summary of the family: Transfer RNA (tRNA) molecules are approximately 80 nucleotides in length. Lineage: Eukaryota; Metazoa; Chordata; Mammalia; Artiodactyla; Camelidae. The record is from Rfam by way of RNAcentral. RNAcentral also lists the same sequence under 3 other names.